RNAcentral lists this ribosomal RNA (253 nucleotides) under uncultured bacterium. RNAcentral's name for it is "partial 16S ribosomal RNA". It matches the Rfam family "Bacterial small subunit ribosomal RNA", at positions 524 to 776 of the family's 1533-position model. The record is from RNAcentral.
UACGUAGGGGGCUAGCGUUGUCCGGAAUUAUUGGGCGUAAAGAGCUCGUAGGCGGCUUGUCACGUCGGCUGUGAAAACCCGGGGCUCAACUCCGGGCCUGCAGUCGAUACGGGCUGGCUUGAGUGCGGUAGGGGAGACUGGAAUUCCUGGUGUAGCGGUGAAAUGCGCAGAUAUCAGGAGGAACACCGGUGGCGAAGGCGGGUCUCUGGGCCGUAACUGACGCUGAGGAGCGAAAGCGUGGGGAGCGAACAGG